Molecule: long non-coding RNA, 565 nt
Organism: Echinops telfairi (small Madagascar hedgehog)
Lineage: Eukaryota; Metazoa; Chordata; Mammalia; Afrosoricida; Tenrecidae
Exons: 5
Source: RefSeq, a predicted model, not a curated record
CGGGCCUCGUGGCCGUGGCUCAUGGCUGCCGACUCGAGCGCCGGUCGCGGCGGGCAGGCUCGGGCCUGGAGGAAGCGGUCUGCUGGCGUCGGGAAAGACGGGGGCGUUGCCGAGCCGCAACGGAUGGACCUUGGAAAUACGAGUGACCCAGGCGGCCUUCCGAAAUGAGGAAGCAGACACGGGGUGAAGACCGCGCGCCCCCUCAGACUCAGUGCUGAAGUUAAAGGGGCCCUUGUGGGCUUUCCGGAAGUCACGUGGAAGCCACAUUGAGUCGCUGGAGUAAAUGGUGUUCCGUGAUAACAUGCCCGACCACGGUAAGGUACAGUCUGAGGUGCUGGACCUGCUGUUGCUUGAGACCUAGAGCCAAGCCAGAUGCUGCUCCGAGCCCCACAGGUGGUGACUGGGCACCCUCCUCCAGACCCUCGCUCAUUACCUGGACACCGGCUGCUGGCAAGGACUGGAGCUCUGGCUAGAGCACCAUUUCCUGGGUGGUCUUUGUGUGAGGUUGUCAUGGGUUCUUAGUUUACAUUUUGAAGCCCAAAUAAAAAGGAUUUUAUUCACCGGA